GGGAGUAGUAGAGGGUCUUCGCGAGACAUCUCCAGGCGAUCCGGGAAACCACGGUUGGCCCUGUCCGAGGGGUGUCAUGAGCAGGAGCGAUAUCUUGUGGGUGCGUGUGUAUCGAAGCACCCUUGCUAUUGUUGAGAACGGCUGGGUCACGUCUGUAGGGGUUCAUCCAUCGCCUCGUAUCCGAAGGAAGAGUCAAAGAUCGUUUUGC
Pelobates cultripes (western spadefoot toad) is the source of this 208-nucleotide non-coding RNA. Lineage: Eukaryota; Metazoa; Chordata; Amphibia; Anura; Pelobatidae. The record is from the annotation of a GenBank genome assembly.